GAUGAACGCUGGCGGCGUGCCUAAUACAUGCAAGUCGAGCGAAUGGGUUAAGAGCUUGCUCUUAUGAAGUUAGCGGCGGACGGGUGAGUAACACGUGGGUAACCUGCCCAUAAGACUGGGAUAACUCCGGGAAACCGGGGCUAAUACCGGAUAACAUUUUGAACCGCAUGGUCCGAAAUUGAAAGGCGGCUUCGGCUGUCACUUAUGGAUGGACCCGCGUCGCAUUAGCUAGUUGGUGAGGUAACGGCUCACCAAGGCAACGAUGCGUAGCCGACCUGAGAGGGCGAUCGGCCACACUGGGACUGAGACACGGCCCAGACUCCUACGGGAGGCAGCAGUAGGGAAUCUUCCGCAAUGGACGAAAGUCUGACGGAGCAACGCCGCGUGAGUGAUGAAGGCUUUCGGGUCGUAAAACUCUGUUGUUAGGGAAGAACAAGUGCUAGUUGAAUAAGCUGGCACCUUGACGGUACCUAACCAGAAAGCCACGGCUAACUACGUGCCAGCCGCCGCUGUAA
RNAcentral lists this ribosomal RNA (515 nucleotides) under uncultured bacterium. Its description in RNAcentral is "partial 16S ribosomal RNA". It matches the Rfam family "Bacterial small subunit ribosomal RNA", at positions 28 to 523 of the family's 1533-position model. The record is from RNAcentral.